RNAcentral lists this unclassified non-coding RNA (841 nucleotides) under Hevea brasiliensis (rubber tree). The record is from RNAcentral. Lineage: Eukaryota; Viridiplantae; Streptophyta; Magnoliopsida; Malpighiales; Euphorbiaceae.
GGAUGACCUAGGAUGAACAUUAGUUUAGUUGGAGCUAAUAAUGUAUUCUGAAACUCGUCUCCUUCACUGCUGGAUAACAUUUGAAUCAGUGCCAAAAAAAAGCUAAAGUCUAUGAUUAUUGAGAACACACUAAACAAAUGCAGUUGGAGUCUUUAUUCACACCUCAGUCUUAUUACUUAUUAGCAUCAAAAGAGUCUUUCUACUUGUGGUUUCUGUUCUUUUCCCCUCUUUAGUCUUUUGCCAUUGAACUGCUUCUUCUAGUAAAGUUGAAGUGUUGCGCUUCCAAGAACCCUCCAUUAAGUUUCUACUAGACUGGGCAUAUUUCCUGCAAACUUAUUCCCAAGCAUUCAAUAAUAUCACCAGUGAGUGUAGACCUUUUCUUAUUGUCAAAUGCCAUUGAUGCUGCCUUUCUCAGUAAAGCAGAUCCAGCAACACAUCCUAGCAUGGUUGGGUUCAUGCUUACCUCCCCUUUAGCAGCACACUGACAGGCCCAGGAUAGGAACACUGCAACACUCCCUGAAAGUAUGUCACCCUGUCCACCACAGCGCCGUGGAGAACCAUAAAUACUCACUGCACAAGCUGUUUUACCAUCGCUGACAAAGUCCGAUUUCCCUUUCCGCAAGAUUGUAACACCACCGAUCCCUUUUGCAAGAGAUAGCAACUGAUCGGUUCCAUUUUCGUCAUUUACCUCAGAAUUUAGUACUUUCUGAACAAGCCGUUUAUACUCAUUCACAUUUGGUGUCAGCACUGCUAAGGGAUAACCACUAACCAGAUCAAGACAAUUAGUCACCAGAUAAAGCCCAUCCCCAUCUAUAACCAUUGGGACAUUGCGCUCUCUUGC